RNAcentral lists this long non-coding RNA (258 nucleotides) under Musa acuminata (dwarf banana). RNAcentral's name for it is "long non-coding RNA (MACU_LNC004628)". Lineage: Eukaryota; Viridiplantae; Streptophyta; Magnoliopsida; Zingiberales; Musaceae. The record is from RNAcentral.
UAUAAACAAACCAUUAUGCAAUGUUCCUUUUGUGAUGAUCUCAUCAUCUAAUAAUAUUGAAUAAUUAUUAUUCUCAAAAACUAAUUUAUAUCUACUAACUGUCAAACAUAAAAUAGGAAUAAUAUUUUUGAUAAUAGAAGGAACAAAAAUAACAUGCAUCUAAUGCAAUAAUAGCUCCACCAGGCAGAUGUAGGGCGACCUCGCCAAUAGCUACUGCAACAACUUUUACUCUAUUACCUAUUUUGAGGUCAAUCUCAC